CACGGGGGGAACGCGAAGAACCUUACCUAAGCUUGACAUCCUUUUGACCGAUGCCUAAUGGCAUCUUUCCCUUGGGGGACAGAAGUGACAGGUGGUGCAUGGUUGUCGUCAGCUCGUGUCGUGAGAUGUUGGGUUAAGUCCCGCAACGAGCGCACCCCUUGCCUUUAGUUCCCAGCAUUAAGUUGGGCACUCUAGAGGACUGCCCAGGGCUAACCGGGAGAAAGGUGGGGAUGACGUCAAAUCAUCAUGCCCCUUAUGCUUAGGUACACACGUGCUACAAUGGGUGGUACAAAGGGCAGCCAAGUCGUGAGGCGGAGCUAACCCAAAAAGCCAUUCUCAGUUCGGAUUGUAGUGCU
Molecule: ribosomal RNA, 356 nt
Filed under: uncultured bacterium
Lineage: Bacteria
Description: bacterial SSU rRNA
Rfam family: Bacterial small subunit ribosomal RNA
Source: RNAcentral